GAUGAACGCUGGCGGCGUGCCUAAUACAUGCAAGUCGAGCGAACAGGCGAGGAGCUUGCUCCUCUGACGUUAGCGGCGGACGGGUGAGUAACACGUGGAUAACCUACCUAUAAGACUGGGAUAACUUCGGGAAACCGGAGCUAAUACCGGAUAAUAUAUUGAACCGCAUGGUUCAAUAGUGAAAGACGGUUUUGCUGUCACUUAUAGAUGGAUCCGCGCCGCAUUAGCUAGUUGGUAAGGUAACGGCUUGCCAAGGCAACGAUGCGUAGCCGACCUGAGAGGGUGAUCGGCCACACUGGAACUGAGACACGGUCCAGACUCCUACGGGAGGCAGCAGUAGGGAAUCUUCCGCAAUGGGCGAAAGCCUGACGGAGCAACGCCGCGUGAGUGAUGAAGGUCUUCGGACCGUAAAACUCUGUUAUUAGGGAAGAACAAAUGUGUAAGUAACUAUGCACGUCUUGACGGUACCUAAUCAGAAAGCCACGGCUAACUACGUG
This 497-nucleotide ribosomal RNA is filed under the name uncultured bacterium. RNAcentral's name for it is "partial 16S ribosomal RNA". It matches the Rfam family "Bacterial small subunit ribosomal RNA", at positions 28 to 507 of the family's 1533-position model. The record is from RNAcentral.